AUGGCGCUCGGCAAGCUUGCGGUGGCCGCGCUGGUGGCAUCUCUCCUCCUGCUCAGCACCAUCAAGGCUGCCGACUCUCCUGCUCCGGCUGCUGCUCCGCUCGGGCCUCCUCCCCACAACAUCGUAGACCCCUCUAAAGACUGCGGGUGGGCGUGCAACCUGCGGUGCAGCGCCAACUCGCGGCCGAAGCUGUGCAGCCGGGCAUGCCUCAAGUGCUGCAGCGUGUGCCGCUGCGUGCCGGCGGGCACGGCCGGCAACAAGGAGACCUGCGGCAAGUGCUACACCGACUGGACCAUGCACGGCAACAACACCAAGUGCCCCUGA
This 324-nucleotide ribosomal RNA is filed under the name Triticum aestivum (bread wheat). Its description in RNAcentral is "partial small subunit ribosomal RNA". The record is from RNAcentral. Lineage: Eukaryota; Viridiplantae; Streptophyta; Magnoliopsida; Poales; Poaceae.